AUUGAACGCUGGCGGCAUGCUUUACACAUGCAAGUCGAACGGUAACAGGCCUUCGGGUGCUGACGAGUGGCGAACGGGUGAGUAAUGCAUCGGAACGUGCCCAAUCGUGGGGGAUAACGUAGCGAAAGUUACGCUAAUACCGCAUAAGCCCUGAGGGGGAAAGUGGGGGACCGCAAGGCCUCACGCGAAUGGAGCGGCCAAUGUCAGAUUAGCUAGUUGGUGGGGUAAAGGCCCACCAAGGCGACGAUCUGUAGCGGGUCUGAGAGGAUGAUCCGCCACACUGGAACUGAGACACGGUCCAGACUCCUACGGGAGGCAGCAGUGGGGAAUAUUGGACAAUGGGGGCAACCCUGAUCCAGCCAUGCCGCGUGUGUGAAGAAGGCCU
This 385-nucleotide ribosomal RNA is filed under the name uncultured bacterium. RNAcentral describes it as "bacterial SSU rRNA". It matches the Rfam family "Bacterial small subunit ribosomal RNA", at positions 29 to 417 of the family's 1533-position model. The record is from RNAcentral.